UACAGAGGUCUCAAGCGUUGUUCGGAUUCAUUGGGCGUAAAGGGUGCGUAGGUGGCGCGCUAAGUCAGGUGUGAAAUUUCGGAGCUUAACUCCGAAACUGCAUUUGAUACUGGCAUGCUUGAGGACUGGAGAGGAGACUGGAAUUCACGGUGUAGCAGUGAAAUGCGUAGAGAUCGUGAGGAAGACCAGUGGCGAAGGCGGGUCUCUAGACAGUUCCUGACACUGAGGCACGAAGGCCAGGGGAGCAAACGGG
This 253-nucleotide ribosomal RNA is filed under the name uncultured bacterium. Its description in RNAcentral is "partial 16S ribosomal RNA". It matches the Rfam family "Bacterial small subunit ribosomal RNA", at positions 524 to 776 of the family's 1533-position model. The record is from RNAcentral.